GUUAUAAUAGUUUAAAUAAACAUUGGUUUUGUAAACCAAAAUUAAAUAUAAAUUAUAUUUUUAUAACU
RNAcentral lists this transfer RNA (68 nucleotides) under Graneledone verrucosa. RNAcentral describes it as "tRNA-Thr". The record is from RNAcentral. Lineage: Eukaryota; Metazoa; Mollusca; Cephalopoda; Octopoda; Octopodidae.